RNA transcript from Sarcophilus harrisii (Tasmanian devil), 2783 nucleotides. It is a transcript of the gene named zinc finger protein 501, with no coding region annotated. NCBI's taxonomy places the organism in Eukaryota, Metazoa, Chordata, Mammalia, Dasyuromorphia, Dasyuridae. The transcript has 2 exons. The record is from RefSeq and is a predicted model, not a curated record.
CAGGCGCAGUGCGUCGGGAGUCUGGCGCUGUCCGCUUUGUCCAGCUCCGGGCUGGCAGGGACUGUCCCAAGGAGACAACCCAACCGCAGACCAUUUCUAGCGACUCAAAGGCUCAGAGGGGAUGUUCCCCAAGACCCUAUACUUGAAAAAGCCUAUUGUGAGAGCACACCACUGGGACAGUAAGGACGACUUGUGUCCGGCUCCUGCCGGGACACUCUAGCUGGGGAGAGAGUCUGUGCAAGGGAGGAAUUGGGGAGAAGCUCAAAUCCUGUCACCCAGGAGAGGGGACCUGUGGGAGACAAGCCCCGGACCAUGGCCCCAGGUGAGGAGAACUCCACGCCAAGUUCACCUCCAAUCCAACAUGCAAGGAAGAAAAAUGCCCAUAAAUGUGAGGACUGUGGAAAAGACUUCAAGGUACCCUCGAUCCUCAUUGCCUGCCAGAGAGUUCACACCACAGAGAAUCCCCGUGAAUGUGGUCAUUGUGGGAAAGUUUUCAUCCAAAAUUCAGCUCUUAUAGUGCACCAGAGGACUCUGGACAGAAGCCCUGUUCAUGCAGAAUGUGGCAAAACCUUCAGGUGGAGCUUCUCCCCCACCCCAUCAGACAUCAGAGAAUGCACAGUGGAGAAAGGCUCUAUCAGUGUGGUUGCCGCAUUCCUCCCUUACCGAGCACCACAAGGUCCACACUGGGGAGAACCCCUAUGAAUGCGCCGAGUGCGGGAAAGCCUUCAAGGGCAGCUCGGACCUGAGCCGAUAUCGCAGGGUUCACACCAGGGAGAAGCCCUACGAGUGUGAUGAGUGUGGGAGAGCCUUCAUGUGGCCCUCAUCACACAUCAGAGAAGUCACAGAGGGGAGAAGCCUCAUGAGUAUCCCCAGUGUGGGAAGGCGUUCGUCCAGAGCUCCCAACUCACUCAGCACCAGAGGACUCGCACUGGGGAGAAGCUCUAUGAGUGCAGUGUCUAUGGGAAAGUCGUGUUUCUACCCGAUUCACCACCAGAAACUUCAACCCAGAGAGUUGUGUGACAUGAAGGUGUCCUUGAGCUUGUGUAGAUCAAGUGAGAUGAUAUUUGUGAAGGGCUUAGUGCGGUGGCUGGGGUGCAGGAAUCCUCCCUCAGGGGAGUUGGGCUUGGUGUCCCAAGCCAGGUUGUCCCACACAUGAGGAGAGGGAGCCCUUACACUAGCCUCACAUGUCCUCCAGCCAGGCACCAAAGACUUCGUCCUGUAAGGUCAGAGAAUGCAGGAAAGUCUGGAGGAAGAACUCAGAGCUGGACCCUGCCCUCAGCAGCUCACAGUCCGUUAGGAUAAUGCUUGUGUGGCUGAGCAGAGGCCUCUGGUCUGGGUGAGGAUGCCAAGUUCCCUAGGACCAAGACACGGAGACUUCAGACCUUCUCUGGAGCCUGGCCCUGUUUAAACAGGAGUGCUGCUGACCAGAGGGGAGGGCAGCUGGGAAGGGCCAGGCGCUCAUACCAGGGGAUGGAGGCAGAUAGAAGAGCUGAAUUCAAGGCUAUGAAGGACAGGCCCUGGGAAAGUAUCAGUCAUUCUGCUUGACCCCUGGAGCUAGAAUCAGGAGGUCAGGCAGCAGCACCUACUGUGUGUGUGUGUGUGUGUGUGUGUGUGUGUGUGUGUGUACGCACGUAACUGGGGCCUGAGGCUGCUGAGAUCCCAGUUCCUGGGAGUCUUUUUAAAAAUUUUAAUUAUUUUUUAUUAGUGAGCAAAUCAAUAUUUCCAAUUAUUUCCAUUAGAAAAUAUUGACUUGCUCUGCUUCCAUGGAAAAGAUCCAGAAAAGACAUGGGCAGUCCUAGAGAAAUGUGUUUGUGUUCCACAUGAUUAGGCAGAUAAACUAGGUCCAGCUCAGUGCUUCUAAGGGUUCAGAUGGUGGAAAUGCAGAAAGAAACAAAUGAGCCUCCAAGAUGCAAAAUCUGUCAGUAAAUUAUUCUUCCCAUUGAGAUAAACCGAGUCCUGUUUUAACCAUGUACAGCAAGACCAAUUUCCACAUUGAUCAUGUCAAAUAGAAAAUGACCAAGCCUUCCCUGUGCACCAAGCUGAGUCCCAAGGCCACUCAGAGUUAAGACUUUCCAAGGUUUUGUUGUCAGUCCGCAGAUGGUUCCCUCAGUGCAGGCUUCUCAGAAAUCGUCCCCCCUAAUAUUCCUCCACAAGUGUUUCUGUACCAACUGAGCAAGUUCUCCCUUUGAGCAGCUUGCCCACUCUCCCCACCCCUCCCCUGUGUUUGUGCAGACGUGGAUACCAUAAUGAUGUGAGAAGAUUUCCCCCAUCCUUCCUCUUCCUCCCCUUUUAUAAAAUAGAAAAAAAAAUCGAAGCCUUGUGUCUACUUCUCCCUCUGUGACGCUUGAUGAGGUGAGAGCUCUGAGGGAACCCGUGGCUCAUUUCUCUCCGUCAGAAUGUGAACCGCUCGGUCUUUGCUUAUUUUUACCUUUUUCUGUUUCUCUUGACUCCUUGUUGGCAUUCCAACCUUUUAUACUUCCUUGGUCAUCUUCUCAGGAAUGCUUGGAAAUCUAUUACAUCGACGAGCCACUUUCCACCCCGGAGGAUGACACGUCAUUUUGCUGGGCAAACCUUUUGGUUAUAAACCUAGACUUUUUGCCUUCUGGAGUUCUAAAUUUCAAACUCUCCAUGUCUUUAUAGUAAUGGUGGAUAAAUCAGGUGUGAUCUGCCCUGGGGCCUUCAUAUUUGAAUUCUUUCUGGCUGCUAGCAGUAAUUUGUUCUUUGACCUGGGAGCUCUGAAUUUUGGCUAUGAUAUUCUUGGGACAUUUCAUUUGUGGGCUUUU